AGAAUUUUGGCAUACAAUGUUCCCAUACCGAGAAUUGACCCCACUAGGCUCGACAAAAUGAGGUGUCAAGGAAUAAGGAGUCCACAUGUUAUGGCAUGUGAUUGUUCUAGAAACCUUUGAAGUGUUAAGAUGAGAUUAUUGGAGUCAUCUCUAGCCAAUAUGGUCCUUAUCCAUACUUCUGACCGUCUUAAAAUUAUUCCCUCUUUUUUUAAAAAAAAAAUUAUCGCUGUUGUACUUAACAGUUAUUUUGUUAUGCUCAUUUUGAAGUAACUUGCACCCUUCCUAGGCUACCAAACAUUCACCUCCAAAUACUUAUAUUUGCUAUGUUCAUAUAAUGUCGAUGGGUCUAUUUUGGCAUGCAAUAUCCUGAUUCAUGCCAUAAAAUUGGUCUUAAAUAUUUUUAAAUUUUUUCUUUGAACUCUGAUGGUAUCUGACUCUGACAUCACAGUCCACAGGCUCGUCACUUAUCUUUAUAUUUUUCAUCAAUAUUUUCAUACUUUUGCAAAAUAAAAUUAUGGUAUUGGAAACUUUUUCUUUGGGAAUAUCUUGCCCCUUAAUUCUCUAGGACCCUCAACUUUUCCCAUUCCAAGCCUUAUAGGUACUAUUAUGAACAUAAAUGGCAUCCUUUAAAUAGAUUUU
RNAcentral lists this long non-coding RNA (639 nucleotides) under Phoenix dactylifera (date palm). RNAcentral's name for it is "long non-coding RNA (PDAC_LNC020152)". Lineage: Eukaryota; Viridiplantae; Streptophyta; Magnoliopsida; Arecales; Arecaceae. The record is from RNAcentral.